RNAcentral lists this long non-coding RNA (698 nucleotides) under Androctonus crassicauda. Lineage: Eukaryota; Metazoa; Arthropoda; Arachnida; Scorpiones; Buthidae. The record is from RNAcentral.
AGGAUGAGCUGCGCUACUUGCACGCGGGGUUUCGGAAUUUUUUGAAUUUCCGGGUUGCCUAACCUUCCUUGUAAGUAACAUUAAUUAACUUGCAAGUUUGUCUGUUUAAAAAUGGUGUACAUUGUCUUCUGAGGUUACUCUGUAAUAAAUGCCCAAUGAAAUUAUUCUAUAGAUUUAUUAAGAAUUUUAUUUUAUAUCAUUGACAUGAGAUGGCACUAUAGGUUAAAGCAGGAGUAGCAUAUGGCUUAUCUGCAUAUCUCCUACAGCUUUUUGAAUGUAAUAUACAGAAAAUCCCCAAUUUAUAUAAGUGAAUAAUUAUGCAAAACCAUAUGUAAAUCAAAACAUGACUUGCAUAUGAUUUCAUAUAUAAGUCACAUCAAACGUUACUGUAUAGGGCAAGGAUGGUAAACCUCUUUAAGGAUAUGUACCAAAAUUGGCUAAAUUUUUGUAAAAUCUAUCUUUCACAUAUCAAUUCAAAUUUUAAACAAUAUAUCAGCUCCAAGUUUUAUGUACCAAAAAAUUUUCCAGCAUACCACUUUGAACAUGCAUGUCAUAUGUUUGCCAUCCCUGAUAUAGGAUAUGCUCUGACAAACAUGGUAUUGUAUUUUGCAGUAUACCCUAUAUCACUGUUUUUCAAUCUUUUUUUAUCUCAUGGCACACUUGAACCUAUAGUUAAACUUCUGCAGCAUACUUAAAUU